Molecule: ribosomal RNA, 127 nt
Organism: Pteropus vampyrus (large flying fox)
Lineage: Eukaryota; Metazoa; Chordata; Mammalia; Chiroptera; Pteropodidae
Source: Ensembl
GUCUAUGGCCGUGUCACCCUGAAAGCGUCCGAUCCCGUCUGAUCUCGGAAGCUAAGCAGGGUCGGGCCUGGUCAGUACUUGGAUGGGAGACCUGGUUAGCACCUGGGAAGACCAGGUGCUGUAAAAA